AGACGACGAGAAAAAAUAUUUCAGUUCGAGCGGUUCAGCUACACGAACCCGAUGACCUUCCACCAUCAAACGUUGGAGCGCCGCAGGUCACGCGACUCCGACGCGGGAGUCGCCAGCCUGCCAAUAUCUUCCUUGUGAUUUAUUGUUAAGUUUUUUCCAGUUAUAAUUUCUUGAUUGCGACUGUAAUAUUGAAAUACUAGAUAUUCAGGGAUGUAAGCUAGUCAUAAAUUAAAUUCCUCCUAAAAUAAAAGCCUCUUCAAUUGGUUACAAUAACCGGUAUUACAAUUAAUAAUAAGGAACUGUUUAAAUCAUGCCUCGCUGUUUAAAUCUAUGCUUUUAUUGCAUACCUUAACGGACUCUAAUGUUUCAAGUGUUUAAAAUUCAUUAAAAAAAUUCUUAGUUGUGCGAAUGGGCCAGAAAAUUUACAUGGAAAUCCAUGUUAGAUCGAAUCACCUUUGUAACGGUCGGGAAUAAAAUGGUUACUGAUACUUUAGUAGGAAAUAUACUUGGAUAAUAAAAUUGAAAUUGGU
Molecule: long non-coding RNA, 530 nt
Organism: Hyalella azteca
Lineage: Eukaryota; Metazoa; Arthropoda; Malacostraca; Amphipoda; Hyalellidae
Exons: 2
Source: RefSeq, a predicted model, not a curated record